CACAAGCGGUGGAGCAUGUGGUUUAAUUCGAAGCAACGCGAAGAACCUUACCAGGUCUUGACAUCCCGAUGCUAUUUCUAGAGAUAGAAAGUUACUUCGGUACAUCGGUGACAGGUGGUGCAUGGUUGUCGUCAGCUCGUGUCGUGAGAUGUUGGGUUAAGUCCCGCAACGAGCGCAACCCUCGACCUUAGUUGCCAGCAUUCAGUUGGGCACUCUAAGGUGACUGCCGGCUAAAAGUCGGAGGAAGGUGGGAUGACGUCAAAUCAUCAUGCCCCUUAUGACCUGGGCUACACACGUGCUACAAUGGGCGGUACAAAGGGUCGCGAACCCGCGAGGGGGAGCCAAUCCCAAAAAGCCGCUCUCAGUUCGGAUUGCAGGCUGCAACUCGCCUGCAUGAAGCCGGAAUCGCUAGUAAUCGCGGAUCAGCAUGCUGCGGUGAAUACGUUCCCGGGUCUU
This 456-nucleotide ribosomal RNA is filed under the name uncultured Anoxybacillus sp. Its description in RNAcentral is "bacterial SSU rRNA". It matches the Rfam family "Bacterial small subunit ribosomal RNA", at positions 924 to 1382 of the family's 1533-position model. Lineage: Bacteria; Bacillati; Bacillota; Bacilli; Caryophanales; Anoxybacillaceae. The record is from RNAcentral.